RNAcentral lists this ribosomal RNA (269 nucleotides) under uncultured Bacillus sp. RNAcentral describes it as "partial 16S ribosomal RNA". It matches the Rfam family "Bacterial small subunit ribosomal RNA", at positions 1115 to 1382 of the family's 1533-position model. Lineage: Bacteria; Bacillati; Bacillota; Bacilli; Caryophanales; Bacillaceae. The record is from RNAcentral.
UUGCUAACGCGUGAAGGCGAGCACUCUAGACGAACUGCCGUUGACAAAACGGAGGAAGGUGGGGAGUGACGUCAAAUCAUCAUGCCCCUUAUGUUCUGGGCUACACACGUGCUACAAUGGCCGGUACAGACGGACGCAAAGCCGCGAGGUGGAGCAAAUCCUAAAAAGCCGGUCUCAGUUCGGAUUGCAGGCUGCAAUUCGCCUGCAUGAAGUCGGAAUCGCUAGUAAUCGCAGGUCAGCAUACUGCGGUGAAUACGUUCCCGGGCCUU